RNAcentral lists this ribosomal RNA (495 nucleotides) under uncultured bacterium. RNAcentral describes it as "partial 16S ribosomal RNA". It matches the Rfam family "Bacterial small subunit ribosomal RNA", at positions 30 to 507 of the family's 1533-position model. The record is from RNAcentral.
UGACCGCUGGCGGCGUGCCUCAUACAUGCACGUCGAGCGAACGGACGAGAAGCUUGCUUCUCUGAUGUUAGCGGCGGACGGGUGAGUAACACGUGGAUAACCUACCUAUAAGACUGGGAUAACUUCGGGAAACCGUAGCUAAUACCGGAUAAUAUUUUGAACCGCAUGGUUCAAAAGUGAAAGACGGUCUUGCUGUCACUUAUAGAUGGAUCCGCGCUGCAUUAGCUAGUUGGUAAGGUAACGGCUUACCAAGGCAACGAUGCAUAGCCGACCUGAGAGGGUGAUCGGCCACACUGGAACUGAGACACGGUCCAGACUCCUACGGGAGGCAGCAGUAGGGAAUCUUCCGCAAUGGGCGAAAGCCUGACGGAGCAACGCCGCGUGAGUGAUGAAGGUCUUCGGAUCGUAAAACUCUGUUAUUAGGGAAGAACAUAUGUGUAAGUAACUGUGCACAUCUUGACGGUACCUAAUCAGAAAGCCACGGCUAACUACGUG